RNAcentral lists this long non-coding RNA (285 nucleotides) under Physcomitrium patens. RNAcentral describes it as "long non-coding RNA (PPAT_LNC008603)". The record is from RNAcentral. Lineage: Eukaryota; Viridiplantae; Streptophyta; Bryopsida; Funariales; Funariaceae.
GUCUUUUCACCAAUAGAAACGGGUGUGGCAUAAAUAAUUUAUGGUGAUUCUUUCAUAGUAGCAUGCAAGAAAGCUUUUGCACCUAUAAAUAUGGAUUUAAUUGAAUUGGACUUAUGACUCUCUACUUGCUUAACUACACUGUUAGUUAUAUUUUUAGAAAAAAUAAGAGUUCGGGAAAUCCAAUCUAUUUGAGGGUUAUAUUUUUCUAACCACGAUAAACCUAAAAUGACUAGAUUAGAGGAAGAUCUAAUGAUAUUAAAUACUACAAAACUAUUAUGACCAUUG